Molecule: long non-coding RNA, 446 nt
Organism: Rhinichthys klamathensis goyatoka
Lineage: Eukaryota; Metazoa; Chordata; Actinopteri; Cypriniformes; Leuciscidae
Exons: 2
Source: RefSeq, a predicted model, not a curated record
UGGGAGCUUGGGAUUUUACUUCUAGAGCUUGUAAUAUGACAGCUAGUACUCAAAGCUGUCAUGAAUCUGAAUGUAAAUGUGGCGAAUGGUAGCUUUUCAGUGAUCCAAACAGCUUCACACUCCAGUUAAUCCUCGGUUUGAAGUCUUCUGUCUGACUCAGAAAGGUUUUAUCACAGUGGAAACAAUCAAGAAAAAAUGUAAACCACACACACUGCUUUAUUUUUAGCAGUGGGUGUACUAAAUACUUAAAGGGAUAGUUCACACCAAAACAACAAUUAACUAUCCCUUUAAGACAAUUUAAUCAGAGUUUUAUGGCACUGAACGCGUGUGUAAAACCUUUUAAUAACUUAUGAGAAUUUGAAUGUUCCAUUUUAGUAUGUGUGAAUUUACAGCUGUUGACAGAAAACUCUCAACUGAACCAUUGAAUAAACUAAUAUUUUGAAGUA